RNAcentral lists this long non-coding RNA (6455 nucleotides) under Homo sapiens (human). RNAcentral describes it as "non-protein coding lnc-HDGFL1-2:4". The record is from RNAcentral. Lineage: Eukaryota; Metazoa; Chordata; Mammalia; Primates; Hominidae.
AGCACUCACACAAACUGAAGGGCCCGGUCUCACUCCUACCGUGCCCCCCACAACAGCCCUGAGUCUGUUUCCAGGUGGUGGGCGAGAGGGGUUUGAAAAUUUGCCCCAGGCUAUCCGCCUCCCAGCUGGGCAAGAAAAGGGCGUGGUUGUUCCCCCACUGAGGAGUCUGCACACCGGAUUUGCAUCUUCCCCUGAGUUCUGGCCUGGAGGCUUCUCGCCCCUGCAAAUUGUUACAAAGUUCAGCUAGAGGGUUCCUUCUUCCUGUGGAGUUUUACCUUCUGCUCCUCUGGCCACCCUCCUGAUGGAUCCCUGUGGUGCCAGGCAGGAAUGACCUGCUUAAGGACCCAGCGAGCUCCCAGGACCUUUCUGCUGCUUCCUCUACCCGUAUAUUUUGCUUGCUUCUCUACAUUGACUCAGCUCCAGCGAUUCCUGAGGAAUCUCAUCCACACUACCCUAUGGACUAAAAGGAAAAGCUCUUCAUGUGGUGUUAGCACGGAGAUGAGAAAGAGAGAAAGACAACAUCAUGCUUUGCUGUCUGUGUGUGAACUGAGUAACAGCUGUGAAGGAUCAGUCACCAAAAGACUUUGAAAGAAGAGGCUUGAUUGGUCACGGUAAUGAUGCUCCCCUGGCCAUGGAAGUUUAAUUGGGAGAAAAGAACAUCUGCUUAUACGAAAACAUAUUAUAUUCAGCCAUCCCUGCCCUGACUUUGGCCUUUAAAAACAGUGGCAUUAAUUAUCUCAACAAAUGAAUCUUCGGGAUAAAAAUAAUCUAAAUAUUAUUUUACGCUUACUACAUAUUUGCAACGUGCUAAGCUCUUUAUGGUUGCUACCACAAAAAACAUUUAUAAUAUGAGACUUCACAAGGUUAGGAACAGGCUUCACUUCAUUGUGAUGUGUGUAAGGUGACAGAGGACAUAUAACGAAUACGUGGAAGAACUAGGAAUUUGACCUUAGCUUCCAGACAUUUUGAGGAGGAUACACUAUGUCCAUCUUGCUUUCCUAUCAAGAAAAGUAUACCCAGUUUGUGCAGUAGCCCUGUACCAACAGAUACAUUACAGCAGGUUGUUUCCGUAUUUUGGCUAUUGUGAAUAGUGCUGCAAUAAACAUGGAAGUGCUGAUAUAUCUUUGAGAUCUUGACUUCAAACAAAAGAAGAAAAUCUUGCAAUAUAUGACAACACGGAUUAACCUGGAGGACAUUGUGCUUAGUGAAGUUAGCCAGUCACAGACUGACAAGUACUGCACGAUUCCACUUAUAUGAUGCCACUGAAAGGUAAACAUACCAUUCUGACAUGCAUGAAAAUGAAACGACAAAUUGAUACACGCAGUGCUUGGAAUGGAUGGAGUCCUUCUAAUGAGUGAUUACCUGUGGUAUAACUAUAUUGAUUGUGUUUGUACAUGUCAAAUGGGGCUGGCGAGGAUGAACUUGAAGAAAUCAAUCUUGGAACCUGCUAGGACAGCAGCCUCCUGGUUUCACAGUACUAAAUCAUGACUUCAAAAUUUUGAAGUAAAAGAAAACUGCAAAACUUUGUAAAGUCUCGCCCCACAGCAAAUUAGAAGUUAAUUUGCAUGAGAGCAAGAGCCUUUGCUGUCCUGUUUUACAUCGUUGAUGCCUAAAUGAAAAGAAUGAAAGAAGAUGGAGAGAUCUGAGUACAACCAUCAAGUGAAGGCGUAACCAAGGGAGGCUUGAGCAUACACGUAGACAGAGGGGAGGAAUCUUGUGGAAUAGAAGAGGAUAGAGACACAGAAGAGAGGAUUCAUUGGUGAAAUGAAGCCUCAUGCAUGUUAAUGGGGUUACUGAAGUCAGUAGCACCUUGGGAUCUACAUCUCCAUGCUGUGGAAGGAGGGGAAUGGCUGCCUCCUAGAUGGGAACCACUGGAUUAAGUUAAUAUCAGGCUGCUCCAGAAGCAACGAAGUGACUUUGAGUAAAAGUAUCUUUCUGUGCUCUCAACUCAUCUCUGAUCAGGAGUGGUGUGCUGGGCAAAGCAUUGAGUUCAGAGUUAAAUUUGAAUUGGAAUAUUGUGAAAACAUUUCUACCAUCUUGUUUUUUGAGACUAGGUCUCACUUUAUCAUUUAGGCUGGAGUGCAGUGGGGUGAUCUCGGCUCACUCCAACCUUGACCUGCCAGGUUUAAGCUAUCCUCCUGCCUCAGCCCCCCAAGUGGCUGUGACUACAGGUGCACAACAUCCCUCCCAGCUAAUUUUUUGUAUUUUUUGUAAAGACGGAGUUUCACCAUGUUGCCCAGUCUGGUCUCAAACUUCUGAGCUCAAGCCAUCCUCCCGCCUCAGCCUCCCAAAGUGCUAGGAUUAAAAGUGUAAGCCACUGCACCCAGCCAUCUACCAUCUUUCUUUUUCUUUGAGUCCAUGACACCAGGUCUAUGGCCUGAUGUGUCCACCUAAUGAAGAUAUGGACACAUGCUUUUAAGUGCACCUGAAGAAGGGCAAGCAGGCACACACAGACACAGAACUACAAGCCUCUGCUUUUGAAUUAGAGACAAUAUAUCUACAGAUAGGAACUUGGAAAAGAGCUAAGGAAAAAAAAUCACAGGUUAAACUAAAUAGAGGUUUUCAGGGUUGCCAUAGCCAAAUUUUUCUAAGAUUAUAAACUCCUAGAGGGCAGAGACCAUAUCGCUUUACUUAAUUUUAAACCAGAAAGCAUGAAACUAUGCAGAGUUAGGUAGUUGAGAAGUUAUUUGGAUGACAAUGACAGUAAUGACAAGAUAGCUGAAACUGUUAAGCCCAAAUGAAAUUAUGGCUUAAGCAAUUUAAUCAUUUUCUUGGAGCAAAAUGAGAUUGGUUGAUACAUAAAUGUAUAAUGACAGACUGAAUACUGGAAACUAGACUGUUAGGCACCGUGGGAAUAUUGAACUUAAGUAAAAAGCCAGUCUUUCCUCUCCCAUCAACAGAGACAGAUCAAAUAGUGACUAGACCCUCAGAUGAAACCAGAGAUUCCAUAUCUUUCUCCUUCUUUUCUUGCAAAAGGAAUAUGACCAAAAUUUUAUCAAUUUUACCUAGUUAAAAAAUAAUGUAGCCUAAUAUCAAUUAUUAAAAAAUAAUGUAGCCUAACGCAUCAAUUACCUUUCAAAAUACUGGCCUUAAAGAACCUAGUUUUUUAAAGUACAAUCUGAAUUCCUAUAUUUUCUCAUGAAAAAAUUAUAUUGCUUCACGUGUAAACAGUAUAAUUGCAAGCUAUUCUGAAGCUUACACUAUAACCUUAAAGAAGUUGACUUUACAGAAAAUUUUCUAAUAAUAUAAAUAUUAGUCAUAGAUACAUUUUUCACUUGAUAAUUAUUUUUCUUUGACAUAAAGGUCAAUAUUUUUCAAUGCUGUAGUCAUCAAUUUCAAAGGAAAUAUUUGUGUGCUGCUUCCUGUUUCUGUUCUAAGCAGCCAAUGGGCCAACACAGCAGCUGGCUAUGAGGUCAACAGAAACUAACAUCUGAUGCAGUAUAUUAGCAAUUACUACAGAUUCUAGAACCAGGCAUUGGUGAGUUUUGGUCAAUGCUCAGAGAACAGGCAAUUGAACUCUUUACAGAGCUUUCCAUUUUUGAGUUCUUUCUAGAGAUAGGUUUUGCUGGAAAAAAAACAAGUCAUACUGACUUCAUGAAAGAGGGAAAGAAAAUCUUAAGUAUGUGAGUAUUUAUAGAAUCUUUAAUAUGCAUCUCUACAUAUGGUCUAUGUGUAUAUGCAUGUGAGAAAAGAUUCCUGGUGUUUCUCAAGUUAGUCUAGGUUUUGAGAGUUUCUAAAAACAAGAAGACCGAUCUUGAGAAUUAAACAAAAAGUACUAUCUUAUUAUAAAAUUCUAUUCUCUAUUAUGCAGAAAUCCAUUAUAUAAUACACAGAACUCUGCCUUCAUCAAAUCUAUAGAACAGUCUAUGGAAUUCUAUCUCCAAAGAUGAAUCUGUGAGGUUUCAAAGGCAUUGUGUCAGAAUUAUAUAAAACGUUUGCUGAAAAAAUAUCAGGGAGUUCAUCAAACUUAACCAGUUAUUUAGCACUUAAAAAGCACCCAGAAUAUCUAAACUAACCCUUAAAAAUCAAAUUAUAUCAAAAUGUUUUAGAAUUGUCAUAACCUCAGGUACAUGUCUAAUGAGACAAUAUUGAAAUAUCCAAAUAACACAUACUAACCUUAAAUAAAUCCAUCUCAGUAAUAUUAUUUAAAAAUUAACCAGAAAAACAUACCCUUCACUCUAGGUCAUCUGGAGAGCUCAGUAGCCUUCUUCUUACUGAGAUAAAUUUUCAGAAGUCAUUAAUAACAAUCUCUUAUCUAACUGAGAAGGAUACGACUUUUACUGCAAGGAAUGAUAUGUGCUCCAGAAACGCAAAACAGACAUUAGAAGUAUCAAACACUUACUUUUGAGUUAUGAAUAAAUAACAUAUUUUUGAAAAGAAUGCAUUAUGAUUCACUUACCUGUUACUUUAGCUUCAUAUUUACUGCAGACUCCAUAAAUUUUGACUGCAGUUUCACUGGAGUGUUGCUGGUCAGUGAAAUCUGUGAAAAAGCACAGAGCAAACAGUCAUGAGACAAAGUAAUAUUUGAAUAGAGUAAUGCCUUAUUUUAACAACAGAAAGUUUAAGUAUAAACUUAUUUAUUCAUAUGAACAAUAAAAUCACUCCUCUUGUACAAGAUAAAAGUCUGUUAAGUAAAAGCAACAGUUCAUAUAAACUGAUGAGAAUUGACAAAAAUUUGGUCUCACAAUGUCCACUGCAAUAAGCAAGGAUUAUAUGGUUUGGGUCGAAGUUCACAUACUUAAACACAAGCAUAUGAAACUUGAGAUGAUGCUGAUGUAGUCGAUUAAGUUUAGUCUGGUAUCAGUCAUUAAGAAAACAUAUUAUCUUUACUAACGUAUUAUAGAAAGCAACAAUAACCAUCUGUGUAAAAUUCAUAAUUUUGUAAGAUCCAGAACAUAAUGAUAAUCAUUUUCUGUUUAAGACACAGGUCAGUAAUUCAAAGACUGUUUCCAUAUCCAGAUAAUAUCACUGUAGCUGCAAUUAUUUGCCUUGGCCAUUACCUGAGUUCUGACCUAGGAUUAUUAAUCCUUUAUUUACUCUCCAUAAAUGUUAUUUUAAAUGUACAAGAGACCAUUUUCAAGCUUUUAAUUAGAACACGUCCCACUGUUACUUCUCAAGUGUGGUUCUUCAUUUGUAAGUAUGAAACCAUUUCUCUAGUUACCUUAUUAGUAAACUGGAGUGAUCUUUGAAUGGGUUUUUAGGCAUCUAAGGCAAAUUAAGAAAAAACAGUAACAUGAAAAGAUGCCUUUAAUUUACCACUAAGUGAAAGAGGGGGAAUAUGAUUUGUAUAAAUUAUGAUUAUAAACAAUAUUAAGAUCCUAGGCAUGAAAAAAUACCUGAAAAUGCAAUAGAAUUACCUCAGUUGUGCUAAAUUGGUAAAACUGUAUUUCCUUUUUCUAGAUCCAUUUUAACAAUAUAAUUCUUCCAAUCCACAAACAUAUUUUCUCAUUUAUGUAAGAGAAUUUCAUACAUAAAUUUCUUUCAUCAAUGCUUCACAGUUUUCCAUGUAUAGAUCUUUCAUUUCCCUGGUUAAAUUUAUUUCUAAACACUUUUUCUAUGGUACUGCAAUUGAGAUUGUUUUCUUGGUGUUUUUUCCAGAUAGAUCACUGUUGGUAUGAAGAUAUGCAACUGAUUUUUACAUGUUGAUUUUGUAUCCUGCUGCUUUACUGAAUUCAUUUAUUAGUUCUAAUUGUUGAGUCUUUAGAGUUUUUGACAUAUAGGAUCAGGUCAUCUGAAGACAGGAAUAAUAUUACUUCUUCCUUUCCAAUUAGAAUGCAUUUUCUUUCUUUUUCUUGCCUGACCGAGCUUGCUGGUACUUUUAGUACUAUGUUGAACAGAAGUGGCCUGUUCAUAAAUGGACUUUAUUAUGUCGAAGAAAUCAUCUUCUAUAUCUAUUUUGUUGACAGUUUUUUUUUUUAUAAUGAAAGAAGAUUGAACUUUGUUGAAUGCUUUUUCUGUAUCUAUGGAGAUGAUCGAGUCAUUUUUAUUUUUCAUUCUGUUAGUAGGUUACUAACACUGACUCUAAUGGUAACUUUUGCUAGAGUCUUAUUUGGUUUUAAGAGACCACUAAGCAGCCCUAAAUGAUUUGGUCCCAAAGACUUAACAUAGGUUACUCCAAAUUCUCUUUGAGUUUGAGUAUGAGCUAGAGAAGGUCAUUAUUUGAUGGAUAUAGCCAACUUAAAAAUGUAAUUAUACCUUGCCAUAACUAACUCCGACCUUUCUAAAUACUCGUGCUUAAAAUUUUGUUGAAAUAAUAUUAAAUGAAUCAUUUAAAAGGCCUUGCAAUCAUGUAGACCAACAUAUUUUAUUUUGUUUAUGAGUCUUGUUUUUUGAUAUAGUUUUUCAUUGUUCUAAUAUAUUAAUCCAUAAUUUUAGGCAUCUGUGAAAAUGAGUGAUUACCAGAAUAAUCAUGUCAAGUCACUGAACCCUUCUGUCAUAUAAAUAAUCAAGGAAAA